AGAACGAACGUUGGCGGCGUGGAUUAGGCAUGCAAGUCGAACGAAUCCCCAGGGGCUUGCUCUUGGGGGGAAGUGGCGAAAGGGGCAGUAAGGCGUGGGUAACCUACCCCGGGGAUCGGGAUAGCCUUCCUAACGGAUGGGUAAUACCGGGCGAUGUAACGAGGAGACAUCUCUUUGUUACGAAAUGAAUUUCGCCUCGGGAGGGGCUCACGUGCUAUUACCUAGUUGGUGAGGUAACGGCUCACCAAGGGAAAGAUGGCUAGCGGGUGUGAGAGCACGACCCGCGCCACUGGCACUGCGACACUGGCCAGACUCCUACGGGAGGCUGCAGUCGAGGAUCUUCGGCAAGUGGGCGCAAGCCUGACCCGAGCGACGCCGCGUGCGCGAUGAAGGCCUUCGGGUUGUAAGCGCUGUCGAGGGGGAGGAAGCGUCCGUAAGGGGUUGACCGUAUCCCGUGGAGGAAGCACGGGCUAAGUCGCGCCGAGCAGCCGC
Molecule: ribosomal RNA, 492 nt
Filed under: uncultured bacterium
Lineage: Bacteria
Description: SSU rRNA
Rfam family: Bacterial small subunit ribosomal RNA
Source: RNAcentral